UCUGGUUGAUCCUGCCAGUAGUUAUAUGCUUGUCUCAAAGAUUAAGCCAUGCAUGUCUAAGUACACACGAAUUAAAAGUGAAACUGCAAAAGGCUCAUUAUAUCAGUUAUGGUUCCUUAGAUCGUUAACAGUUACUUGGAUAACUGUGGUAAUUCUAGAGCUAAUACAUGCAAUUAAAACAAGAACCUUAUGGGACAUGUGCUUUUAUUAGGCUAAAACCAAGCGAUCGCAAGAUCGUUAUAUUGGUUGAACUCUAGAUAACAUGCAGAUUGUAUGGUCUUGUACAGACGACAGAUCUUUCAAAUGUCGCCCUAUCAACUUUUGAUGGUAGUAUCUAGGACUACCAUGGUUGCAACGGGUAACGGGCCAUCAGGGUUCGAUUCCGGAGAGGGAUCCUAAGAAACAGCUACCAUAUCUAAGGAAGGCAGCAGGCGCGUAAAUUACCCACUCCCAGCUCGGGAGUAAACUUGUGCUUCAUACGGGUGGUACAACUUACAAUUGCGGUUAGUACUAUACCUUUAUAUAUGUAAGCGUAUUACCGGUGGAGUUCUUAUAUGUGAUUAAAUACUUGUAUUUUUUCAUAUGUUCUCCUAUUUAAAAACCUGCAUUAGUGCUCUUAAACGAGUGUAAGAGUGCUUAAAGCAGGCUUCAAAUGCCUGAAUAUUCUGUGAAUGGGAUAAUGCAAUAAGAGAUCUGUUCUGCUUUCAUUGGUUUUCAGAUCAAGAGGUAAUGAUUAAUAGAAGCAGUUUGGGGUCAUUACGUAUUACGACGCGAGAAGUGCAAUUCUUGGACCGUCGUAAGACUAACUUAAGCGAAAGCAUUUGCCAAAGAUGUUUUCAUUAAUCAAGAACGAAAGUUAGAGGUUCGUAGGCGAUCAGAUACCGCCCUAGUUUUAACCAUAAAAGAUGCCAGCUAGCAAUUGGGUGUAGCUACUUUUAUGGCUCUCUCAGUCGCUUCCCGGGAAACCAAAGCUUUUGGGCUCCGGGGGAAGUAUGGUUGCAAAGCUGAAACUUAAAGGAAUUGACGGAAGGGCACCACCAGGAGUGGAGCAUGCGGCUUAAUUUGACUCAACAUGGGAAAACUUACCAGGUCCGAACAUAAGUGUGUAAGACAGAUUGAUAGCUCUUUCUCGAAUCUAUGGGUGGUGGUGCAUGGCCGUUCUUAGUUCGUGGAGUGAUAAUAGAUAUCUUCAGGAUUAUGGUGCUGAAGCUUAUAUAGCCUUCAUUCAUGGUGGCAUUAAAAUGUUUAUUGUGUUUGAAUGUGUUUAUGUAAGAGGAGCCGUACCUGUUGGUUUGUCUCAUUAUAAGGACACUACUUUCUUAAAUGGACAAAUUGCGUCUAGCAAUAAUGAGAUUGAGCAAUAACAGGUCUGUAAUGCCCUUAGAUGUCCUGGGCUGCACGCGCGCUACAAUGAAAGAAUCAACGUGUAUUUCCUAGACCGAGAGGUCCGGGUAAGCCGCUGAACCAUUUUCAUGCUUGGGAUUGUGAACUGAAACUGUUCACAUGAACUUGGAAUUCCCAGUAAGUGUGAGUCAUUACCUCGCAUUGAUUACGUCCCUGCCCUUUGUACACACCGCCCGCCGCUACUAUCGAUUGAAUUGUUUAGUGAGGUCUCCGGACGUGAUCACUGUGACGCCUUGCGUGUUACGGUUGUUUCGCAAAAGUUGACCGAACUUGAUUAUUUAGAGGAAGUAAAAGUCGUAACAAGGUUUC
RNAcentral lists this ribosomal RNA (1713 nucleotides) under Drosophila erecta. Its description in RNAcentral is "SSU rRNA". It matches the Rfam family "Eukaryotic small subunit ribosomal RNA". Lineage: Eukaryota; Metazoa; Arthropoda; Insecta; Diptera; Drosophilidae. The record is from RNAcentral.